This 1322-nucleotide ribosomal RNA is filed under the name uncultured bacterium. RNAcentral describes it as "bacterial SSU rRNA". It matches the Rfam family "Bacterial small subunit ribosomal RNA", at positions 27 to 1381 of the family's 1533-position model. The record is from RNAcentral.
GGAUGAACGUUGGCGGCGUGCCUAAUACAUGCAAGUCGAACGAAGACUGUAGUAAUACUGUCUUAGUGGCGAACGGGUGAGUAACGCGUGGGUGACCUGCCCCGAAGUGUGGGAUAACAGUCCGAAAGGAUUGCUAAUACUGCAUAAUAUCCAAGAGAUUAGACGCUUUUGGAUUAAAGGAGUAAUUCGCUUCGGGAGGGGCCCGCGUCCCAUCAGCUAGUUGGUAAGGUAAUGGCUUACCAAGGCGAUGACGGGUAGGGGACCUGAGAGGGUGGCCCCCCACAAUGGAACUGAAACACGGUCCAUACACCUACGGGUGGCAGCAGUAGGGAAUAUUAGUAAUGGGCGAAAGCCUGAACUAGCAACGCCGCGUGUGCGAAGAAGGCCUUCGGGUUGUAAAGCACUUUUUGAGAGGAUGAGGAAGGACGGUACUCUCAGAAUAAGUCUCGGCUAACUACGUGCCAGCAGCCGCGGUAACACGUAGGAGGCAAACGUUAUCCGGAUUUACUGGGCGUAAAGCGCGUGUAGGUGGUUUGGUAAGUAGGGCGUGAAAGCUCCUGGCUCAACUGGGAGAGGACGUUCUAAACUGCCAAGCUUGAGGAUGGUAGAGGGAGGUGGAAUUCCGGGUGUAGCGGUGGAAUGCGCAGAUAUCCGGAGGAACACCAGUGGCGAAGGCGGCCUCCUGGACCACUCCUGACACUCAGACGCGAAAGCUAGGGUAGCAAACGGGAUUAGAGACCCCGGUAGUCCUAGCCCUAAACGAUGUAGACUUGGCGUCGGUGGUUUAAUCGCCAUCGGUGUCGUAGCUAACGCGUUAAGUCUACCGCCUGGGGACUACGGCCGCAAGGUUAAAACUCAAAGGAAUUGACGGGUCCCCGCACAAGCAGCGGAGCGUGUGGUUUAAUUCGAUGCUACACGAAGAACCUUACCUGGGUUUGACAUAGAGGUAGUAGGGAAGCGAAAGCGGACCGACCCUUCGGGGAGCCUCUACAGGUGUUGCAUGGCUGUCGUCAGCUCGUGUCGUGAGAUGUUCGGUUAAGUCCGCUAACGAGCGCAACCCUCGCUGUGUGUUACAAGUGUCACACGGUACUGCCGAUAUUAAGUCGGAGGAAGGUGGGGAUGACGUCAAAUCAGCACGGCCCUUACAUCCGGGGCGACACACGUGUUACAAUGGUAAGGACAAAGGGCAGCUACCGGGCGACCGGAUGCGAAUCUCUAAACCUUAUCUCAGUUCGGAUCGGAGUCUGCAACUCGACUCCGUGAAGCUGGAUUCGCUAGUAAUCGCGCAUCAGCCAUGGCGCGGUGAAUACGUUCCCGGGCCU